This 624-nucleotide ribosomal RNA is filed under the name Clostridiaceae bacterium. Its description in RNAcentral is "bacterial SSU rRNA". It matches the Rfam family "Bacterial small subunit ribosomal RNA", at positions 918 to 1533 of the family's 1533-position model. The record is from RNAcentral. Lineage: Bacteria; Bacillati; Bacillota; Clostridia; Eubacteriales; Clostridiaceae.
GACCCGCACAAGCGGUGGAGCAUGUGGUUUAAUUCGAAGCAACGCGAAGAACCUUACCAAAUCUUGACAUCCUUUGAAAACUCUAGAGAUAGAGCUUUCCCCUUCGGGGGACAAAGUGACAGGUGGUGCAUGGUUGUCGUCAGCUCGUGUCGUGAGAUGUUGGGUUAAGUCCCGCAACGAGCGCAACCCUUAAGCUUAGUUGCCAUCAUUAAGUUGGGCACUCUAGGUUGACUGCCGGUGACAAACCGGAGGAAGGUGGGGAUGACGUCAAAUCAUCAUGCCCCUUAUGAUUUGGGCUACACACGUGCUACAAUGGAUAAUACAAAGGGCAGCGAAUCCGCGAGGCCAAGCAAAUCCCAUAAAAUUAUUCUCAGUUCGGAUUGUAGUCUGCAACUCGACUACAUGAAGCUGGAAUCGCUAGUAAUCGUAGAUCAGCAUGCUACGGUGAAUACGUUCCCGGGUCUUGUACACACCGCCCGUCACACCACGAGAGUUUGUAACACCCGAAGCCGGUGGAGUAACCUUUUAGGAACUAGCCGUCGAAGGUGGGACAAAUGAUUGGGGUGAAGUCGUAACAAGGUAGCCGUAUCGGAAGGUGCGGCUGGAUCACCUCCUUUCUAAGGA